This 222-nucleotide ribosomal RNA is filed under the name uncultured bacterium. RNAcentral's name for it is "partial 16S ribosomal RNA". It matches the Rfam family "Bacterial small subunit ribosomal RNA", at positions 109 to 334 of the family's 1533-position model. The record is from RNAcentral.
AGUAAUGUAUGGGGAUCUGCCCGAUAGAGGGGGGUAACUACUGGAAACGGUGGCUAAUACCGCAUAAUGUCUACGGACCAAAGCAGGGGCUCUUCGGACCUUGCACUAUCGGAUGAACCCAUAUGGGAUUAGCUAGUAGGUGGGGUAAAGGCUCACCUAGGCGACGAUCUCUAGCUGGUCUGAGAGGAUGAUCAGCCACACUGGGACUGGGACACGGCCCAG